RNAcentral lists this long non-coding RNA (351 nucleotides) under Homo sapiens (human). RNAcentral describes it as "HSALNT0037603". Lineage: Eukaryota; Metazoa; Chordata; Mammalia; Primates; Hominidae. The record is from RNAcentral.
CCUGACUGUGGGAAAUCCCUUAACUCGGGAAUCCUGAGUUCUCCCCUCAGAUGAGAGCUGAGAUGAGCAUUAAAUAAGACUGAGCACAGGAAGGGCAGUAAAGAAACACCUGUCCUGGAGGAGGCUGCAGAGCAGAAUAAGCCUGAGGAGAGGCAGGGCUGGACGUGGACCCCACCGCCACGAUGGCCCCUCCCGCAGGGCAGGCGAGCGGCAGGGACGGAGGGCAUAACAGAGAAAGGCACGAAGUACGCCACCCAGUUCCCCUGCCCUCGGAGCUACUACGACCCAGACCCACUGACCCAGAGCCUGGACAGCUGCCUGCCCUGUCCCCCAGGCCACUGCUGCGGGUAG